RNAcentral lists this ribosomal RNA (118 nucleotides) under Lepisosteus oculatus (spotted gar). Lineage: Eukaryota; Metazoa; Chordata; Actinopteri; Semionotiformes; Lepisosteidae. The record is from RNAcentral.
GCCAGCAGCCAUAUCACUCUGCAGCUCCCAGCUGGUACCCCCCUGAAGCUCAGCAGGUGUGAGCCUGGUCACUACCUGGAUGGGAGACUCCUGGGAAAAACUAAGGUUGCUGCUGGAA